GUGCCUUCGGGAACUGUGAGACAGGUGCUGCAUGGCUGUCGUCAGCUCGUGUUGUGAAAUGUUGGGUUAAGUCCCGCAACGAGCGCAACCCUUAUCCUUUGUUGCCAGCGGUUAGGCCGGGAACUCAAAGGAGACUGCCAGUGAUAAACUGGAGGAAGGUGGGGAUGACGUCAAGUCAUCAUGGCCCUUACGACCAGGGCUACACACGUGCUACAAUGGCGCAUACAAAGAGAAGCGACCUCGCGAGAGCAAGCGGACCUCAUAAAGUGCGUCGUAGUCCGGAUUGGAGUCUGCAACUCGACUCCAUGAAGUCGGAAUCGCUAGUAAUCGUGGAUCAGAAUGCCACGGUGAAUACGUUCCCGGGCCUUGUACACACCGCCCGUCACACCAUGGGAGUGGGUUGCAAAAGAAGUAGGUAGCUUAACCUUCGGGAGGGCGCUUACCACUUUGUGAUUCAUGACUGGGGUGAAGUCGUAACAAGGUAACCGUAGGGGAACCUGCGGUUGGAUCACCUCCUUA
This 519-nucleotide ribosomal RNA is filed under the name Atlantibacter hermannii. RNAcentral's name for it is "bacterial SSU rRNA". It matches the Rfam family "Bacterial small subunit ribosomal RNA", at positions 1014 to 1533 of the family's 1533-position model. The record is from RNAcentral. Lineage: Bacteria; Pseudomonadati; Pseudomonadota; Gammaproteobacteria; Enterobacterales; Enterobacteriaceae. RNAcentral also lists the same sequence under 17 other names.